CUCACCAAUUGUUCUAACACCUUGGAAUCCUUUAGGCUCGAGGAAUUGCAAGCUCGUGCCAGAUCUUCAAGUGUGCGUAAAGUGUACUGAACGAUAUUGGUUGACGUGAUGAGCGUGUGUUCGGCGACGGCAGCGGCGUCGUCACGGCCGGGGCGGCGGGAGUCUCGGAGCUCAAGCACGCGCGGCAGCACGACCGAGCAGCAAUUCUACAUUGGCAAAAGUGGCCUCAAGCCCCUCAACGAGAGCACGAUGUCUACAACCAGACCCUCUUCCAACUCAAACUUAUGCUGCGUCAUGUCCGUUCUUCUUUCCUGCAUUAUGGUUGGCUGGUGUGAACUAGGACACGAUUUCAUUGGUUGAAACAUGAUCAUUAGAAAACAAUGGUUAAAUGUUUUAAAGUUUAUGCUCAAAAUGCCAUUGACUUAUGUGUUCCACAUCUGUACACAAAUAUAAUCAGAAUCAAAUGUUUUAACAGUAUUUUCUUUAAAUAUUACGGAUGUUUUGUCAGGACAAUGACUUUAAGAGACGUGUGUGCAAUUGUAUAUGCAUACAGGUUUUAAGUUAUUUCUACCAGCUGACAAUCUUGAUACUUAAUAUUUUGAAUACACAAAUGGGCACAAACAUAUGCAUGCUUCAGAAUCCGUGUUUUCUAUCAUUGUAUGACAUCAAUUAUGUGAUUAGGAUAUAUUGAGUAUGCUUUUUUAGUGUGACAGUAGCUAUGCACUAAUCGAAUACACAGGAGGGUGAAAUGUUGUUUAUGUUUUAAACAGUAGAUUUCAUUAGUGUUAAGUGUGCGGACUUUAAUAUAUCUGUUUUCUUUUAUUCGAUGGGAUCGUUAAUGCCUAAUUUAGAAGUUAACACUGUGGGCAUGUCUUCGUAAUUGAUAGUUGUUCAUACAUGUUCUAAGGACAUUUCAGUACCAUGUUUAAUAAUGACUCGGCCAAUAUUUGCAUAUUGUAUAUUAAAUACGUAUCCCAAAGAAGCCGGACGGUUUAAAGGUUUUAUUAUUAUGUUUUUUGAUGAUGUUUUUCGAAACCUGUUCCAUUAUAUAAUACUAUUUUGGGACCUUUUCGAAACGUCCUUAUUAACAAAAUCGGUCCGAAAUGCUGUUUGUGUAUGUAACUGAUUAUGGCACAAUUCUUUUGUUGUAUCGUGAUAUUUUAAAAACAAACAUCUGAGGG
Long non-coding RNA from Mya arenaria, 1181 nucleotides. RefSeq lists it as uncharacterized. The record is from RefSeq and is a predicted model, not a curated record. The transcript is spliced from 3 exons. Lineage: Eukaryota; Metazoa; Mollusca; Bivalvia; Myida; Myidae.